This 542-nucleotide ribosomal RNA is filed under the name Hoplichthys citrinus (lemon ghost flathead). RNAcentral's name for it is "partial 16S large subunit ribosomal RNA". It matches the Rfam family "Bacterial large subunit ribosomal RNA", at positions 264 to 1050 of the family's 2925-position model. The record is from RNAcentral. Lineage: Eukaryota; Metazoa; Chordata; Actinopteri; Perciformes; Hoplichthyidae.
CGUCCAACAGCUAGCGCAUUAAACCAAUCACAACACAUCCCCAUAAAUAACCCCUAACACACUAAGACUUAAUUAAGCAAACCAUUUUUCCCCCCUAGUAUGGGAGACAGAAAAGGAACAAAGAAGCAAUAGAAAAAGUACCGCAAGGGAACGCUGAAAAAGAAAUGAAAUAACCCAGUAAAACUUUAAAAAGCAGAGAUUAACCCUCGUACCUUUUGCAUCAUGAUUUAGCCAGUGUAACUCAGGCAAAGAGCACUUUAGUCUGUUCACCCGAAACUAUAUGAGCUACUCCAAGACAGCCUAUUUAUAGGGCAAACCCGUCCCUGUGGCAAAAGGGUGGGGAGAGCUUUGAGUAGAGGUGAAAAACCUACCGAAUAUAGUUAUAGCUGGUUGCCCAAGAAUUGAAUAGAAGUUCAGCCCCUCCGGUCCUUUCUUCAUCUUCGUUCACCAUAACUGAUAUAAAAGGAACUGAGGGAGUUAGUCAAAGGGGGUACAGCCCCUUUGAAUUAAGACACAACUUUUUAAGGAGGAUAAGGAUCAUA